RNAcentral lists this ribosomal RNA (251 nucleotides) under uncultured prokaryote. Its description in RNAcentral is "partial 16S rRNA". It matches the Rfam family "Bacterial small subunit ribosomal RNA", at positions 525 to 775 of the family's 1533-position model. The record is from RNAcentral.
ACGGGGGGGGCAAGCGUUAUUCGGAAUUACUGGGUGUAAAGGGCGCGUAGACGGCCGAAUUGGUCAGGUGUGAAAUCCCUAGGCUUACCUUAGGAACUGCGUUUGAUACUAUUUGGCUUGAGUAUAGGAGAGGUGGGUGGAAUUCCAGGUGUAGCGGUGAAAUGCGUAGAUAUCGGGAGGAACACCGGUGGCGAAGGCGGCUCACUGGAAUGUAACUGACGCUGAGGCGCGAAAGCGUGGGGAGCGAACAG